Carcharodon carcharias (great white shark) is the source of this 162-nucleotide small nuclear RNA. RefSeq annotates it as U1 spliceosomal RNA. The record is from RefSeq and is a predicted model, not a curated record. Lineage: Eukaryota; Metazoa; Chordata; Chondrichthyes; Lamniformes; Lamnidae. The transcript has a single exon.
AUAAACCUGGAAGGGGAGAAACAAUGAUCGUGAAAGUUGUGCUCCCAGGGUGAGGCUAUCCCAUUGCACUCUGGGUGAGCUGACACCUGCGAUGUCCCCAAAUAUGGGAUACUCAGCUGCAAAGUUUGUAGUAGUGGGGGACUGUAUUCGCGCUUUCCCCUG